GCUCCAAGAGGAGACCGCAGGUCAGCGAGAAUUGAAAACGCGUCUACUGGACCAGGUCUCCUGUUCAUCUUAUUUCCCCAUCACUCACAGCACUCACUCCCCAGCUAUUAAAACAGCAAAGAAAAAAAGAAAGAAAGAAAGAAAUGUGGGAAGAAUAAGACAGUAGGGUUAGGUUCGGGGAGAAGGGCUUCAGCAAAACACAGUUGCAUCGCUCAGCCCUGGAAACUCAUCCCGUCAUCCCCACACUCUCUCUAGGGAAUUGGGCCCCACUUCAGAGAUUCAGAAACAAAAAUUGUAGCGUCGAGAUCGUUAAAGCCGAGUCUACUUCUUUCGCCGGUUGGGCCUCAGAGCCCCAAAGCCGCCCAGCUAGACAGAGCGACUGCACGGCGGGCCAGCGCGGGCCCCCAGCUCGAGGCUUCCGGUGGACACCGGGAAAGUGAGCGGCCUGCCCGUCCAGACAUCAGAGGUCGGCCGCACUCCGAACCGUGCCUACAGGCGGGUCCGCAGAAGGGGGGCCGCUCCCCGCGGUCGCCCGGUCGGGUCGCGCCGGUCCUUUCUCAGGAUGACCGCGUUCCUUCCGCCCAGAGAGGGCAAAGAGUCCCGCUCCCUCGUGUGCACCUCCCGCCCGCGCUCCGGAGCGCCCCCUAGGAAGAAAGCUAGAGCGGCAGCCACGCCUCGGUGGCGAUUUUAUUAGCGAUCCGUUGGGGUGGCCCGGCUGCCGGCGAGCGGGGUUUCCCCGCCCCUCCCCCCUUCCCCUCCCCCCAGGCGGCCGGAACCUCCCUGCGGAGCGGAGUGAUACCGGCGGCGGCGUAGAGCGCGGCGCGGCCUGGGGCGCCCGGGACUGCGCGGGGCGGGCGGCGGCGGAGGGAGGAGGGGAGAGAGGCGGGGCCGGGGCGGGUUGUUGUGAGGCGACUGCGCUACUGCCGGAGCGGGGCGGUUAUGGCGGCUCCAUAUUAACAGCCUCCUCCUCCUCCGCCGCCGCCGUCUCCUCCUCCUCCUUUCCCUCCCGCCAGCUCUCUAAGCCAUCUCCCCCUUCACCCUGACGCCUACCUCUUCCCCUCACCUUUCCCCCUCCCCUGUUCUACCAUGCCCGGCAUGAUGGAGAAAGGGCCCGAGUUGCUGGGGAAGAACCGAUCGGCCAACGGCAGCGCCAAGAGCCCGGCAGGCGGCGGCGGCAGCGGCGCCUCGUCCACCAACGGCGGGCUGCACUACUCGGAGCCCGAGAGCGGCUGCAGCAGCGACGACGAGCACGAUGUUGGGAUGAGAGUCGGAGCCGAAUACCAAGCUCGGAUCCCUGAAUUUGAUCCAGGUAGAUACAUUUGCUUAAGCAAAAUCUUAUCUUCCCUUUCCUGGGCUUGGUUUGGGGUGGACGGGCUAGGGGUCCGGGCGUGGGGCCGGGAGGGGAUGUGGGGUUGGGCUGGGCAGGCAUCCGUGGUGGGGAGGCUGUCAGGCUUGGCCGGGCUGUGACACUGGGCGUGUGGGCAGAUGUGUGCACUGCAAGGUUAACAUGGUUCCCUUCGGAGGCCACUUGCCCGCUGGUGGCAUCGCCUUCCUGACCCUUGAGCUGGAGCGGGGUCGGGGUGAGCAGAGGGAGACGACCCUUGGCGGAGUCCAGGGUCCGAGGCCGCGGGCUGGAGGAGCGGGCGUGCAGACUGUGUGGACGAACCGUGCAAAUGUCAAUUGCCACCUCGCUCGCCUCGGCACCGGGGCGGGCGGCGGAGGCCAGGGCGGCUGUCACCGGCCGGGGAAGCCAAGGGCGAGCCCUGCCGACCCGCGCGCAGCGGGGAUUGUCUCUUUUCUUUCUUUUU
Molecule: RNA transcript, 1808 nt
Organism: Piliocolobus tephrosceles (Ugandan red Colobus)
Lineage: Eukaryota; Metazoa; Chordata; Mammalia; Primates; Cercopithecidae
Gene name: REST corepressor 3-like
Exons: 2
Source: RefSeq, a predicted model, not a curated record